RNAcentral lists this transfer RNA (73 nucleotides) under Ixodes scapularis (black-legged tick). It matches the Rfam family "tRNA". Rfam says of the family: Transfer RNA (tRNA) molecules are approximately 80 nucleotides in length. The record is from Rfam by way of RNAcentral. Lineage: Eukaryota; Metazoa; Arthropoda; Arachnida; Ixodida; Ixodidae.
AGUGGAGUGAUGUAAUGGUUAGCACACCCGCCUGAACAAUGGGAGGCUCGAAGUUCAAAUCCCGCCUCCGCUA